UACGUAGGGUGCAAGCGUUAAUCGGAAUUACUGGGCGUAAAGCGUGCGCAGGCGGUUAUGUAAGACAGGUGUGAAAUCCCCGGGCUUAACCUGGGAACUGCGCUUGUUACUGGCAGGCUUGAGUGUGGCAGAGGGGGGUGGAAUUCCACGUGUAGCAGUGAAAUGCGUAGAGAUGUGGAGGAACACCGAUGGCGAAGGCAGCCCCCUGGGCUAACACUGACGCUCAUGCACGAAAGCGUGGGGAGCAAACAGG
RNAcentral lists this ribosomal RNA (253 nucleotides) under uncultured bacterium. RNAcentral's name for it is "partial 16S ribosomal RNA". It matches the Rfam family "Bacterial small subunit ribosomal RNA", at positions 524 to 776 of the family's 1533-position model. The record is from RNAcentral.